CAGUCGCCACGGUAAUACAGAGGGUGCGAGCGUUAAUCGGAUUUACUGGGCGUAAAGCGUGCGUAGGCGGCUAAUUGAGUCGGAUGUGAAAUCCCCGAGCUUAACUUGGGAAUUGCAUUCGAUACUGGUUAGCUAGAGUGUGUGAGAGGAUGGUAGAAUUCCAGGUGUAGCGGUGAAAUGCGUAGAGAUCUGGAGGAAUACCGAUGGCGAAGGCAGCCAUCUGGCCUAACACUGACGCUGAGGUACGAAAGCAUGGGGAGCAAACAGGAUUAGAUACCCGUGUAUUCCCUGUCUCUUAUAC
RNAcentral lists this ribosomal RNA (301 nucleotides) under uncultured bacterium. RNAcentral describes it as "partial 16S ribosomal RNA". It matches the Rfam family "Bacterial small subunit ribosomal RNA", at positions 509 to 807 of the family's 1533-position model. The record is from RNAcentral.